AGGAGUAUAGCUCAGCUGGUAGAGCGACGGUCUCCAAAACCGUAGGUCGUAGGUUCGAUCCCUACUGCUCCUGCCA
RNAcentral lists this transfer RNA (76 nucleotides) under Labrys okinawensis. RNAcentral's name for it is "tRNA-Trp". It matches the Rfam family "tRNA". From Rfam's summary of the family: Transfer RNA (tRNA) molecules are approximately 80 nucleotides in length. Lineage: Bacteria; Pseudomonadati; Pseudomonadota; Alphaproteobacteria; Hyphomicrobiales; Xanthobacteraceae. The record is from RNAcentral. RNAcentral also lists the same sequence under 2 other names.